This 253-nucleotide ribosomal RNA is filed under the name uncultured bacterium. Its description in RNAcentral is "partial 16S ribosomal RNA". It matches the Rfam family "Bacterial small subunit ribosomal RNA", at positions 524 to 776 of the family's 1533-position model. The record is from RNAcentral.
UACGUAGGGACCGAGCGUUGUCCGGAAUCAUUGGGCGUAAAGGGUGCGUAGGCGGCGCGGUAAGUCGGGUGUGAAAUCUCGGAGCUUAACUCCGAAACUGCAUUCGAUACUGCCGUGCUCGAGGACUGGAGAGGAGACUGGAAUUUACGGUGUAGCGGUGAAAUGCGUAGAUAUCGUAAGGAAGACCAGUGGCGAAGGCGGGUCUCUGGACAGUUCCUGACGCUGAGGCACGAAGGCCAGGGGAGCAAACGGG